AUUGGAAUUAUUGGAUCAUAUUGUAAAUGCAUGGCAAACAUUCUAAGAAAUUCCAAAACUGAUUUCCAAAGUGGUUGUACCAUUUUCUAUUUCUACCAGCAAU
RNAcentral lists this microRNA precursor (103 nucleotides) under Marmota monax (woodchuck). Lineage: Eukaryota; Metazoa; Chordata; Mammalia; Rodentia; Sciuridae. The record is from RNAcentral.